Long non-coding RNA from Bos taurus (domestic cattle), 1203 nucleotides. NCBI's taxonomy places the organism in Eukaryota, Metazoa, Chordata, Mammalia, Artiodactyla, Bovidae. The record is from Ensembl.
AAUAUAUCAGCUGCGGUGAGAGGGGUGGUUUUACCCUGGUGGCUGCUGGUUUCCUGGGGAGCAGUGGGACUCUGAAGAGUCUUCUCCAGCACCACAACUUGAAAGCAUCAACUCUUUGGCACUCAGCCUUCUUUAUGGUUCAACUGUGAUAUCCGUACAUGACUACUGGAAAACCACAGCUUUGACUCUACGGACCUUUGACUGGAGGAGCUGCACACCUUGGGAGAUGGGAGAGAUAUGAACGAGAAGGUUAAUGUUUCCGUACACCUCAGAAUCAUGAUGGCUCACGGGAAGCGUGUGUGUGUUUCCUCCUGCAAAUAAGAGGUGCCACAGCCCAGGACGCUGAUUCUCAAUGUACCUAAGAGAUGGCAUGUCAUCCCCACUUUGGACUUGAGGCUGGAGAGGGAUGGGGAGCCAUUGGCGUGGGGCACCCAAGGGAGAGAAGGUCUCAAACUCUUCCGUGGAGCUGGGCAGCCUGGCUUAAAGAAAAACAGUAACUAGUUUCUUGGUUAUUUUUUCUCUUCUUGCAGUUACUUAUUCAUUUUCCCAGAACUUUCUUUUACAGUAGGAGAAUGCACGAGGAAGAGAGUACAAGCAAGUGGAACUCAGUUCAUCUGAUGAUCUGCCCACAUCCGCUGAGUCACUCCUAAUGGCCCCUCAGAUGUCAUUUUCUUACUAAGACAUUUGGAAAUUUUUCUGCCUGUGAAUCAGAAGCAAACACUGUAAUUCACCAGUCUUCUCUAAGUUAUGCAAGGAACUUUGAUGUGCUCAGAAGUGGAAGCUCAGGGCGGAUGAAAUCAAUGAAUUCUCUGAGAACUUUGUUUUUCUCCUACUUGAAGUUCGUUUGCCAAGUGGAGGAUGCGAAGAGCUCAGUCUGACCACUGGAGUCACCUCUGCAGGAAGUCUGGGAGCAGCUGAUGUGGGGUUUCUUGAUGACACUGGUUUUCCUUAUCAUCUUGGUCCUGUUCCCAUAAUAGACCCGAGUGUCAUCCAGGAAGGGGCUUUCUGCCACAGCAUCUUGUCGAGGGCUGUUCCUCACAACGAAGGGCUGGCCUGAGGGUGCUUAAUCAUCUCCAGGGUCCUCGGGUGUGUGGGGUCGCCCCCGGCGUGCAGGGGACGCCUGCCCUCUGCCCCCCCGGAGCUCAGUUCAGGGCCUAUCACUGUCACCUGCCUUUGUCACAGCCCUUCUUGGGGGAGAAGAUG